GACAGGAGGAAACGCGGCACCAGCAGCAUCUCAUCUACUCUCCUUGACACCUCCUCCCCGUGGUUCCAGCCAGACCCUAGAGGUCAGCCUUGCAGACCAACAGGAGGACUCCAGCGUUCCCUUUUCAAGAGGUCCCCAGACUCCGGCUGCCCUCUUCCAGCGCCUGUGGCUAGCGCAAGGAGGCACCAGUGCUCUGAGGCUGUCGCGUGGUGCAGCGUCGAGCAUCCUUGCCGAGGUCCUUUCUGCUGCCUGUCCCGCCUCACCCCGCUCCCUCACACCAGCUGGCCCUCUUUGCCUCCCUUUCCCAGAAUCUUUAAGCUCCGAAUCCCACCAGCGCCUCCUACCAACCUCACCUCACCCCACCCCGUCCCUGUGCCUUCCCGCGCUCCGGUGUCCCCCGCUGCCAUG
RNAcentral lists this non-coding RNA (408 nucleotides) under Papio anubis (olive baboon). RNAcentral describes it as "Cyp24a1 internal ribosome entry site (IRES)". It matches the Rfam family "Cyp24a1 internal ribosome entry site (IRES)". From Rfam's summary of the family: Cyp24a1 (1,25-dihydroxyvitamin D3 24-hydroxylase) expression is translationally regulated via IRES within the 5'UTR, which is responsive to an inflammatory environment. The record is from Rfam by way of RNAcentral. Lineage: Eukaryota; Metazoa; Chordata; Mammalia; Primates; Cercopithecidae. RNAcentral also lists the same sequence under 1 other name.